UACAGAGGUGGCAAGCGUUGUUCGGAUUUACUGGGCGUAAAGGGCGCGUAGGCGGUUCUGUGUGUCGGAUGUGAAAGCCCACUGCUUAACGGUGGAAGUGCAUUCGAAACUACAGAACUUGAGUGCAGGAGGGGAGAGUGGAAUUCUUGGUGUAGCGGUGAAAUGCGUUGAUAUCAAGAGGAACACCGGUGGCGAAGGCGACUCUCUGGAAUGCAACUGACGCUGAGGCGCGAAAGUUAGGGGAG
This 245-nucleotide ribosomal RNA is filed under the name uncultured bacterium. Its description in RNAcentral is "partial 16S ribosomal RNA". It matches the Rfam family "Bacterial small subunit ribosomal RNA", at positions 524 to 768 of the family's 1533-position model. The record is from RNAcentral.